UGAGAGAUUUUUUUUAGAGAUCCUCACUGUAUUUUUACGUAAUUUAUUUUUAUAAUGACAUGUGGUUUAUACUUUGUAUCUUUUAAUUUAUUUAUUCUUAAAACUUAUAUAGUGAAAAAAAUAAACUAAAAUAUUCUUUUCAUACUUCACUAGUAGCAAUAUACUUGAUAUCAUACAUAACAAAGUAUUCUUUUUAAAAAUAAAAUAAAAUAUAUGUUUAUCAUGUAUAACAAAAUAUACUGUACUAGUUGCAAUAUAUAAUUGCUUUUAUAGACAUGCAAGUAUACUAGUGUUUUUGAACCUUUUAAGGUUUACUAUUUUCAUAGAAACAUUUAUUUAUUAAUAUUUUCCUUUUUUGCUUAAAUUUUGUUAUGUGUUUUGGUCAAUAUUUUUAAAUUAUAUUUUGUUAAAUGUUUUUAAUAUUAAGCUAUUCUACAACAUGUAAUACAAAGUAAUAUUGCUAUGAAAUAAGCUUUAUACUGAAUUAGGGGGUGUACGCGCUUCGCUCGGAAUAUUGUUUUAUUGUUUUUAAAUAUGAUUUUUUGGAUUAUGUGAUUAUGUGGAUGAUGUGAUUAUUUGUGAAGAGCAUUAUUUUGUGUUUUAUUAUGUUAUGUAGUAGUAGAUAAUAAGUUAAUAUAUUAUGUGUAUGUCUUUUUAAUAAUGUGUUGUUGUGUGUAUAAUAUUACUUAUUAGAGGUGAAGUGAACUUCUGAUGUAAAACAUAUUGAAUUUC
RNAcentral lists this long non-coding RNA (732 nucleotides) under Brassica napus (rape). Its description in RNAcentral is "long non-coding RNA (BNAP_LNC017558)". The record is from RNAcentral. Lineage: Eukaryota; Viridiplantae; Streptophyta; Magnoliopsida; Brassicales; Brassicaceae.